This 253-nucleotide ribosomal RNA is filed under the name uncultured bacterium. Its description in RNAcentral is "partial 16S ribosomal RNA". It matches the Rfam family "Bacterial small subunit ribosomal RNA", at positions 524 to 776 of the family's 1533-position model. The record is from RNAcentral.
UACGAGGGGGGCGAGCGUUGUUCGGAAUUAUUGGGCGUAAAGGGUGCGUAGGCGGUUCCGCAAGUCCUGUGUGAAAUCUUCGGGCUCAACUCGAAGUCUGCACGGGAAACUGCGGGGCUUGAGUGUGGGAGAGGUGAGUGGAAUUUCCGGUGUAGCGGUGAAAUGCGUAGAUAUCGGAAGGAACACCUGUGGCGAAAGCGGCUCACUGGACCACAACUGACGCUGAGGCACGAAAGCUAGGGGAGCAAACAGG